This 1017-nucleotide long non-coding RNA is filed under the name Dasypus novemcinctus (nine-banded armadillo). RNAcentral's name for it is "lncRNA (ENSDNOG00000051262.1)". The record is from RNAcentral. Lineage: Eukaryota; Metazoa; Chordata; Mammalia; Cingulata; Dasypodidae.
UCUACUCAGUCACAGACUUAUGUCUAAUGUACUGUUAUAGAAUCCCAUCAUGAGAAAGAACACUGGGGAAAGUGGUUUUGAAAUAGUGUGAUAUUUGGACCAUUUUGUGGUUUUCAUGUAUAAUGAAAGAGAAAAAUUGACGUUGGUAUAGCUCUAGAAUACAUAGAGUGCAUGGUAGCUGUUUUAUCAACUAUAAGAAGGUCUUAUUUGCAAAGGAACUAAGAGUAGAAUGCUCACUUUCCAUCUUCUCUGGUAGUAAAGUUGGACAGCCCGUAGGUAGGGACAAGUACAGCACGGCUCUGUGGUUUCCGAAGCCAAACAGUCACUGGAAGGUCUCCUGUGAUUAAAUUGGUUGUAUCUCCUGUUCUGGGUCAUACCAAGGCCUGGUUCUCCAUGUCUCCAGCAACUCCAUGUCUCUCACAGCCUCAGAAAAUAAGUGAAUUCUUGGGUUCUCUUGGAACAGAUACACAACCCCUCAGUUGCAGAUAUGUACACAAUAUAUGAUUCAGACUGUUACCAAAAGUUUGAUAAUGGUAGCUGAAACUCAUAGCACAAUAGCUUUUGUUGAAGCGUUAUAGUGGGAGACCAUUUUAGAAAAAUAUUAUUGACCGUGAAAUAUUGGAAUAUUUUAAGGAUUUGAGUGUUUUAUGAGAGUAUUGAGAUCAAAUAUGUGUCUUGAGACAACCUUAUUCUAGUUGUCUAUAAUAAUCUCUACAUUAUAAAGGGUUUGGGGUGUCAUCUAGUCCAACCCAUAAUUUGCUAUUCCACCUAAGUCCUGUCUGCUUUCAGGGGCUCCAGGGCAAUGCAUUGAUGUCACAGGAAAUGGUUAUGAUGAUGUUGAAGAAUUACCUUGUUCCUGAAAUUCCUCCUGCCCCUGAGAUGAAUGGGAAUUAUUCUUUCUCAGAGGAGGGAGAUGGUGCCAGGUAUUCCCAGACAGAUGCCUCUCUGCAGUCUCCUAGAGAAACUGUCAACCCUAAGGUGGAAGGCAGAGGUUCCUCAUUGGUCCUGGAGCAAGGA